RNAcentral lists this long non-coding RNA (2004 nucleotides) under Homo sapiens (human). Its description in RNAcentral is "HSALNT0361101". Lineage: Eukaryota; Metazoa; Chordata; Mammalia; Primates; Hominidae. The record is from RNAcentral.
GGUGUCUUCCCUCCACUCCAUCUUAGCCCCCAGGGAUGGACAUCCAGGGGAAGCAGCCCCACUUCCUGUGUCUACUCCUCAUGGACAUUGUGGGAGCUCCAUUUUCUUCAACAGAAGAUAUGAAUCAAGCAAUCUGAGGGCCUAGAUGGGGAGAAAAGGGCCCUGAAACAGGGAGAGAUGAAUGUAGCCACCAGCUCUCUGUUUUUUUCUUUAGAGGGGCAGGGAGUCAUUCAACCUAAGAAUUUUUCCUUGCUGUCUUGCAUAUCCCAACAGGCCUCCCUUCAUUCUUACAGUGUGACUGACCUAAAUUGAAAAUAUGAAGAGGACCCAUGGGCUAAAAGGCUAAUUUUUCAUUGUCGGUAUAUACUAAAUUUGUUUAUCCAUCAUCUGUCCAUUGACAGUUGGUUGCCUCCACCCUUUGACUAUUGUGAACAGUGCUGCUAUGAACAUGAGUGUGCAAAUAUACUUUCAAGAUCCUGGUUUCAAUUCUUUUGAGAUUACCCAGAAGUAGAAUCAGUGGAACAUACGGAAGAAGAUUAUGGGCAAGUACUGCAAGAACUGGCAACAGUCUCAUAUUAUGUGGACAACUCUACAAUGCAUGUUUGUUUGGGCUCUCCCUUUUCGCUGCUCCAAACUCCCUGUCCCUGACUUUUGCUUACUGGGUCCAGUCCCCAGUAGAGUAGCUGCUCUUAGGCUUUUGUCUUAGGAGAACUCAGGGGAACACGUGGCCUAUGCUCUGGCAAUAAAAUCUUCUUGCAUUGUCAGAAGUCACCUCACUAUUUGAUGUCUCCGUAUACUCCCUCUGCUUUAAUCUCACUUACUUCCCCCAAACCUCAAUCUGGCCCCUGUUUAAAUGUCACCUGUUCAUGAAGCUUUCCUUCAUCUCCACAACAAAGCUGGUUUCUCCCUUCUCUGUGGCUGCUGUACCUUGUUUAUUCCUCCAUGGGCGCACUGAGGGCUCUCAAUACAUUUGGUUUUAUAUCUGAUACUCAUUGUAAUAUCCACUAUUUUUUUUUUGUUUCUUUUAUAUUUUAGGUCCUCAAACAUUGCCAAACAUUGUCAAUCAUUCUUGAAGGUUUAACAUUAAAUGAUAUUAAGAAACGGACACUGGGCAAUAACUUUAGCACCAGCUGGGAGAAUUGGUGAUGAUUAUAGUCGGAAAGAAUCCCAAAUAUGUGAUGCUGGUAAUCUCUGGUCAUAAAUACAUAUUGAGUGUAAAUCUUUUCUUACAAUAAUAAAAUGCCUAAGGAAAUAUCUAUCCCCAGACACAAACACAUUUACGUUCUUCUCUUAUUUCUUAUCAAUCUAGUCUGGGAUAGAUGAUGUGCUGCUCAGAGAUGGGGGCUAGAUGAAAUUACUGGGGGAUGGGAGCUGUCCUAUUUAUUGGGCAACCUCAGACUGUGGCUCUCCGGGGGAAUUGGCCACCUAAACUGGUACCCUCCACUGACCAGGCCAACAUAAACAUGGCUGGGAAAAGGGCAAUGUUUUUAUGGUCCUUAGUCCCUGGAGACCCUGUUUCACUGGGAAAGAUACUCUCACUAUAGUGACCACUUGCCUGAGACUCCCAAUUCUGGAAGCCUCUCACGGAAGAAGCUGUCUAGGACCACCUCAGUGAAUUGAUUCAGCUCCCAAAACACCCAGGAAGCCCUUCCAGAUUAAUGAGAACAGGAAGGCAAACACACUCCCAGGACGCUGAUCCUUGUGAACAAGAAAUAAGCAGUGGCCAUAACCCCUCCCUUUUAAUUCACCACCUUUUAAACUUCAAUCAUAUUUUCCUGAGACAACAUUGGAAACUGGCCUUUCUGUUGGCAUUCCUUCUUCAGUGCAUAGAUCAGUCAUUUUAGGCUCACUUCAAACCUAUUUGAAUCCCACGUCCCCUGCUCACCAUGCUACCUUUCUUUUUACUGUCCUCCAAUCUUAGUCUUGGUACUACUGUGUGUGUGUGAGAGAGAGAGAGAGAGAGAAAAAAAAAAAAAGAAAGAAAGAAAGAACAGAGACAGCAAG